GAAAUGCGAUAAGUAAUGUGAAUUGCAGAAUUCAGUGAAUCAUCGAAUCUUUGAACGCACCUUGCGCUCCUUGGUAUUCCUUGGAGCAUGCCUGUUUGAGUAUCAUGAAAUCUUCAAAGAAAAUCUUUUGUUAACUCAAUUAGUUUCUACUUUGGUAUUGGAGGUCUUUGCAGCUUCACACCUGCUCCUCUUUGUUCAUUAGCUGGAUCUCAGUGUUAUGCUUGGUUCCACUCGGCGUGAUAAGUUAUCUAUCGCUGAGGACACUGUAAAAGGUGGCCAAGGUAAAUGCAGAUGAACCGCUUCUAAUAGUCCAUUGACUUGGACAAUACUUUUAUGAUCUGAUCUCAAAUCAGGUAGGACUACCCGCUGAACUUAAGC
This 378-nucleotide unclassified non-coding RNA is filed under the name plant metagenome. RNAcentral's name for it is "partial contains 5.8S ribosomal RNA, internal transcribed spacer 2, and large subunit ribosomal RNA". The stretch from base 1 to 105 matches the Rfam family "5.8S ribosomal RNA", at positions 50 to 154 of the family's 154-position model. The record is from RNAcentral.